UUCCAUUGAGGGAUCCCUAUUUUUGGCCACUUUUAGAGAUAUAUAGGCCCACACAAUUAGAUCUGUCAUUUAAUGAGGUUGGAUGACUGAGAUUAAAACAAAAAGUUACACACUUUAUAUCAAACCUGGACCAAGAUCAUUAAAAAUAAAUCGAAGUUUUGAAUGGGUUAACGAUCACUAAAUUAUCUGAAAAUUUAUAAAAAUGAUCUACUCAUAUAACUCAAUGAAUUAAACGGUGUAGAUGCAAAAAUUUGAUCAGAAAGUUGAUAUAAUACUCUAUCUCUAGAAAUAAUCAAAAAUAUAGAUCCCUGAAUAGAAGGGCUCUCUAUAUAUAUAUUCGACUCUCUUGGGCACAUCUUGAAGAAGUUGGCGGGAAAGGCGGAAAGCUUCCCAAAUUGGAUGGACCACAUAAUCAAAGUGGGUGGAUUGGGCCCUAAGCGGGCUUGGGGAAGCCUUUUUUUGGCGGGCUGGGCGAAACCUAGGCAGGCUGGUACAGACUAUAAUCUUUGUUCUGGGAAUUUCCCACUCUCACUCCCCUUGAUUCAUUUGAGGUAUGUUGUAUUCUUGUUCACUACUGUAGUUCUAAUGAAUUGAUUAUGGACUUAUGGGUGAAUUUGGCAAUGGGAUUUUAUCUGAUUGUUGCCCACUGGACUCUUUUUGGCCUAUUUAUGAUCCUUACAAACAUCACAACAUUGGAAAAGCUAUCAAUCUUUUUCAUCAUCUGCUUCUCUAUUUGGUUUGAGCUAUUUUUCAUGAGAUAUCCGAAUCUUCUUUGUGCUGAAUUUACCAAUCAGAUGAUUCAAUUCUGGUUUUGGUGGAUUGACUUCUUUGCAUAUAAUCUGGGUCUCUAUCAGGGUAAGAAUAUCAUACAUUUACUUACUUCCUUCAAUCAAAGUGACCAGAGAUAUAGGCAUAUAGCUGUGCUGGUAUAAUGUUAAAGCUCAAGGUGUUCAUGUGCUUACUAGUGUUCGAUCUUUCACUGGGUAACCCACUUUCUUCCUUAAUUCUUGAGCUUUUUUGUUAUCCCUGAACCCAGAGAGUAUCAUGGAUAGAAUUACUAUUCUUUAGUUAAUUUUUCCCUUAAAACUCUUUGCUCUUGUUAUAUUUGCAACUUUUGGACGAUUUUUAUGUGCUCAAUUCAACUGGUUAUAGAGUAUGCCAUGGGUGGGAUAUUUUCCGAAAAGUCUGUGACCAACAGCUAGGCUUCCUUGCCUAUGUAAGUUUUUUAUACUCUAAAGUCUAAAUCCUAAUUUAAUAGUUGUUUACAGCUUUAACAGCAAUGUAUGGGACUAUUUCAGGCAUGGAACUUGUGGAAUGAAGGCUGGGCGUUGGAGUUGGUAGAUGAAGUAUUAGGUGAUAUAUAUUCCUCAUCAGAAGUAAUGACUUGAGUCCCCUGCUCUCACUUCCCUCUAACUCCUCUCAGGUAUUUUCAGUUCUUGUUUCAGUUAAUGUAAAUUGAGCAUUGCCAUAUUGAUUUUUUAAGUAAUUUCAGGUAGCAUAUUCCAGUUCUUAGUACCAUUUUUUUUAAUUCUUUUCCUUGCAUGUAAUCUGGGCCUCUCUCAAGAUGACAGUACAGUUAUUUUGCUUCCUUCACUUAAACUUCAAUUCUUUUCUUAAUUCUACAUCAUGUCCUUGGUUGAAAAUCUAAAAGCGACCAAAGAAGAUGGUGACAUGUGGACUGUAUCAAUGUCUGUUUCGUAACAAUGUUACAGCUCAAGGUAUUC
RNAcentral lists this long non-coding RNA (1724 nucleotides) under Fragaria vesca (wild strawberry). RNAcentral's name for it is "long non-coding RNA (FVES_LNC001152)". Lineage: Eukaryota; Viridiplantae; Streptophyta; Magnoliopsida; Rosales; Rosaceae. The record is from RNAcentral.